GAAAGGUUCAGUGUUCUGCAUAUGUUGAGUACUUGGGUCAGUUUACAUCAGAACGGUUCUCAGAGGACAUUGCUGAGCUGAUUCGGAGCCGUUACCAAUCAAAGGAAAAGCGCCUCUUCGAUGAUGUUUUAGCUUUGUUUGUUCUUCAUCAUCCCGAGAAUGGGCAUGCGAUUAUUCUUCCAAUAAUUUCUUGUAUAAUUGAUGGCACCCUGGAAUAUAACAGAAAUGACCCUCCAUUUGCCUCUUUUAUAUCCUUAUUCUGCCCUGGCACUGAGAACGAUUACUCUGAAC
Molecule: unclassified non-coding RNA, 291 nt
Filed under: Hevea brasiliensis (rubber tree)
Lineage: Eukaryota; Viridiplantae; Streptophyta; Magnoliopsida; Malpighiales; Euphorbiaceae
Source: RNAcentral